GAAAGGGCUGAUAGGUGAAGAACCCGCGCAGGGCUGAU
RNAcentral lists this small nucleolar RNA (38 nucleotides) under Acidianus hospitalis W1. RNAcentral describes it as "putative C/D box RNA". Lineage: Archaea; Thermoproteati; Thermoproteota; Thermoprotei; Sulfolobales; Sulfolobaceae. The record is from RNAcentral.